RNAcentral lists this ribosomal RNA (253 nucleotides) under uncultured bacterium. RNAcentral describes it as "partial 16S ribosomal RNA". It matches the Rfam family "Bacterial small subunit ribosomal RNA", at positions 524 to 776 of the family's 1533-position model. The record is from RNAcentral.
UACAGAGGGGGCAAGCGUUGUUCGGAAUUACUGGGCGUAAAGCGCACGUAGGCGGAUUGUUAAGUCAGGGGUGAAAUCCUGGAGCUCAACUCCAGAACUGCCUUUGAUACUGGCGAUCUCGAGUCCGGGAGAGGUGAGUGGAACUGCGAGUGUAGAGGUGAAAUUCGUAGAUAUUCGCAAGAACACCAGUGGCGAAGGCGGCUCACUGGCCCGGUACUGACGCUGAGGAGCGAAAGCAUGGGGAGCGAACAGG